GACGAACGCUGGUGGCGUGCUUAACACAUGCAAGUCGAACGGAAAGGCCCUGCUUUUGUGGGGUGCUCGAGUGGCGAACGGGUGAGUAACACGUGAGUAACCUGCCCUUGACUUUGGGAUAACUUCAGGAAACUGGGGCUAAUACCGGAUAGGAGCUCCUGCUGCAUGGUGGGGGUUGGAAAGUUUCGGCGGUUGGGGAUGGACUCGCGGCUUAUCAGCUUGUUGGUGGGGUAGUGGCUUACCAAGGCUUUGACGGGUAGCCGGCCUGAGAGGGUGACCGGCCACAUUGGGACUGAGAUACGGCCCAGACUCCUACGGGAGGCAGCAGUGGGGAAUAUUGCACAAUGGGCGGAAGCCUGAUGCAGCAACGCCGCGUGCGGGAUGACGGCCUUCGGGUUGAAAACCGCUUUCGCCUGUGACGAAGCGUGAGUGACGGUAAUGGGUAAAGAAGCACCGGCUAACUACGUG
This 468-nucleotide ribosomal RNA is filed under the name uncultured bacterium. RNAcentral describes it as "partial 16S ribosomal RNA". It matches the Rfam family "Bacterial small subunit ribosomal RNA", at positions 28 to 507 of the family's 1533-position model. The record is from RNAcentral.